GGCACUGUAGACCAACUGGCCAGGAGUCGCCUCGCUUAGAACGAGGACAGUGUGGGUUCGAAUCCCACCGGUGCUA
RNAcentral lists this transfer RNA (76 nucleotides) under Gemmataceae bacterium. RNAcentral's name for it is "tRNA-Leu". It matches the Rfam family "tRNA". From Rfam's summary of the family: Transfer RNA (tRNA) molecules are approximately 80 nucleotides in length. Lineage: Bacteria; Pseudomonadati; Planctomycetota; Planctomycetia; Gemmatales; Gemmataceae. The record is from RNAcentral.